GACGAACGCUGGCGGCGUGCUUAACACAUGCAAGUCGAACGGAAAGGCCCUGCUUGCAGGGUGCUCGAGUGGCGAACGGGUGAGUAACACGUGGGUGAUCUGCCCCUUACUUUGGGAUAAGCCUGGGAAACUGGGUCUAUUACUGGAUAGGACCAUGCUGUAGGUGGUGUGGUGGAAAGAUUAGUUUCGGUAAGGGAUGAGCUCGCGGCCUAUCAGCUUGUUGGUGGGGUAAUGGCCUACCAAGGCGUCGACGGGUGGCCGGCCUGAGAGGGUGGACGGCCACAUUGGGACUGAGAUACGGCCCAGACUCCUACGGGGGGCAGCAGUGGGGAAUAUUGCACAAUGGCGCAAGCCUGAUGCAGCGACGCCGCGUGGGGGAUGACGGCCUUCGGGUUGUAAACUCCUUUCAGCCAUGACGAAGCCCUUGUGGUGACGGUAGUGGUAGAAGAAGCACCGGCUAACUACGUG
RNAcentral lists this ribosomal RNA (468 nucleotides) under uncultured bacterium. Its description in RNAcentral is "partial 16S ribosomal RNA". It matches the Rfam family "Bacterial small subunit ribosomal RNA", at positions 28 to 507 of the family's 1533-position model. The record is from RNAcentral.